Molecule: small RNA, 1189 nt
Filed under: Pongo abelii (Sumatran orangutan)
Lineage: Eukaryota; Metazoa; Chordata; Mammalia; Primates; Hominidae
Description: retained intron
Source: RNAcentral
GCUGAGAUAAUGAUAGAAGAAAAUGACGAUCCCAGAGGAAUUUUUAUGUUUCAUGUUACUAGAGUGAGAUGAAUUUUCAUUUGUUUACAGUCAUACAGAGGCCUCUCCCUGCUGAUUUGGCCAGUGUUUUAUAAUAUGUUUUCUGCAAAACAUUUAGCUUUGCCUGUAUUUAUUUUUAAAUAAACAAAUAACCAAAUUUGUCUUAUAAACUAAUUCUUAGGUUUCUUUGGGCUAGACCAAAGGAUUCAACAAGUUUACUUUCAUUAAAUUAAACAUAAGAGUUCAGAAGACCUUUUAUGCAUGUUUAAUUUCUACUUUAAAGGGUGAAGUAUAGAAAGUUAAGUAGAAACAGUAACUUUAGAAAGGUGACUUACGAGAGUUACCAUUUUAUCUUCCCUUUCAACUUAUAUUCUUUACUUAAAGGGCGCUGGGGAAGUUAUUACUGCCUAUGAGGUGCCUCCACCCUCGAACGUUCUUCAAGUUCCUGUAGUCCGGCUGGCUGGAAGCUUUGGGGCAGUAAAUGUUUAUUGGAAAGCGUCACCAGACGGUGCUGGCUUGGAAGACUUUAAACCAUCUCAUGGGAUUCUUGAAUUUGCAGAUAAACAGGUUACUGCAAUGAUAGAAAUCACCGUAAUUGAUGAUACUGAAUUUGAAUUGACAGAGACGUUCAAUAUUUCCUUGAUCAGUGUUGCUGGAGGUGGCAGACUUGGUGAUGAUGUUGUGGUAACUGUUGUUAUUCCACAAAAUGAUUCUCCAUUUGGAGUAUUUGGAUUUGAAGAAAAGACUGUAAGUUAAAUAUAUCAGGGGAACGCCUUGUUUCAAGCUAGAGUUUCAUGGAAUUUUGAGUAGAAAGUGUCUUACAUUUUUGUUUUGAAAGUCUUGGCCAGGCAUGGUGGCUCAUGCCAGUAAUCCCAGCACUUUGGGAGGCCGUGGCGGGCAGAUCACGAGGUCAGGAGAGUGACACCAUCCUGGCCAACAUGGUUGAAACCCCGUCUCUACUAAAAAUACAAAAAUUAGCUGGGUGUGGUGGCACAUGCCUGUAAUCCCAUAUACUUGGGAGGCUGAGGCGGGAGACUCGCUUGAACCCAGGAGGCAGAGGUUGCAGUGAGCUGAGAUCACGCCAUUGCACUCCAGCCUGGCAACAUAGAGAGACUCCAUCUCAAAAAAAAAAAACAAAAAACAAAAAACA